UGGGGAAUAUUGGGACAAUGGGCGCAAGCCUGAUCCAGCCAUGCCGCGUGAGUGAUGAAGGCCCUAGGGUUGUAAAGCUCUUUCACCGGUGAAGAUAAUGACGGUAACCGGAGAAGAAGCCCCGGCUAACUUCGUGCCAGCAGCCGCGGUAAUACGAAGGGGGCUAGCGUUGUUCGGAUUUACUGGGCGUAAAGCGCACGUAGGCGGACUAUUAAGUCAGGGGUGAAAUCCCGGGGGCUCAACCCCGGAACUGCCUUUGAUACUGGUAGUCUUGAGUUCGAGAGAGGUGAGUGGAAUUCCGAGUGUAGAGGUGAAAUUUCGUAGAUAUUCGGAGGAACACCAGUGGCGAAGGCGGCUCACUGGCUCGAUACUGACGCUGAGGUGCG
RNAcentral lists this ribosomal RNA (386 nucleotides) under uncultured bacterium. RNAcentral describes it as "bacterial SSU rRNA". It matches the Rfam family "Bacterial small subunit ribosomal RNA", at positions 355 to 755 of the family's 1533-position model. The record is from RNAcentral.